ACUGACUGCUGGGUGAACAGCAGGAAAAGCCCAACUGCAGGAAUCACAGGGGGUGAGCCCUGGGGUUCCCUCCUCGUGGCAGGCAAGCCAGGCUGUCGGGAAAUUAGAGUGUCUUAGAGACCCUUUCAGCCUUCCGUCCUCUCACUUUGCAGGCUGGUGUCAAGACUGUGCUAAUGACCUCCAGGUCCUAAGUCUCUUGUUGCCUGGUGACAAAGUUUCACAGUUGAGGAGGAGAAGCUGGGACUAGCAGGCUUCACGAGAAACACAAAGGUAUAGCCUUGCUCACUGCAUAUCCACUGACCUGACCCAUAGUACAACUCCAGUAGGAACUGUUGGACAGAUGACUGAAUGAGGAGACUGAACUGUAGCCAGCUCUAGAGAUUAAAAAAAGUCAUGGAGAUUCAGAAAGACAGGAAGUUACUGCAUAUAAAGGUUAACACCCACCCUCACCUUCUACAAACAGCCUCAGCUAAAGAUACCUGGGAGGAGCUUGUAGAAGAUGCCACUCUCUGCAAUCCAGAGGAAAAUGUCUUUCCCUUUGAGCGGAUCAUUUCUACCAAGGUCAAACUCAUAUUUUACAUUGAGUUUGUAUGAAAAAAAAAUCAGAUGUUUAAUUUUUCAUGUAAUCAAAGAACAAUAACAAAAGCAAACCUUCACUUGAGGACUGACUCUGGACUGGUUCUGGAAGCUGUACAAGGGACAUCCCCAGCCACGUGGUAACUGGCAUGAGCCCACAAUUAAUAUGCAUUAAAUCAGUCACUCCUCAAGUCAAA
Molecule: long non-coding RNA, 773 nt
Filed under: Homo sapiens (human)
Lineage: Eukaryota; Metazoa; Chordata; Mammalia; Primates; Hominidae
Description: HSALNT0357828
Source: RNAcentral